GACGAACGCUGGCGGCAGGCUUAACACAUGCAAGUCGAGGGGCAGCGUGAUGAAGUAGCAAUACGGAUUUGACGGCGACCGGCGCACGGGUGCGUAACGCGUAUGCAACCUACCCAUAACAGGGGGAUAACACUGAGAAAUUGGUACUAAUACCCCAUAACAGUUUAGAAGGCAUCUUCUAGAUUUGAAAGUUCAGGCGGUUAUGGAUGGGCAUGCGUUGUAUUAGCUAGAUGGUGAGGUAACGGCUCACCAUGGCUACGAUACAUAGGGGGACUGAGAGGUUAACCCCCCACACUGGUACUGAGACACGGACCAGACUCCUACGGGAGGCAGCAGUGAGGAAUAUUGGUCAAUGGGCGAGAGCCUGAACAGCCAAGUAGCGUGAAGGAAGACUGCCCUAUGGGUGUAAACUUCUUUAUACGGAAUAACACCAUCUACGUGUAGAUG
RNAcentral lists this ribosomal RNA (447 nucleotides) under uncultured bacterium. RNAcentral describes it as "bacterial SSU rRNA". It matches the Rfam family "Bacterial small subunit ribosomal RNA", at positions 28 to 467 of the family's 1533-position model. The record is from RNAcentral.